This 271-nucleotide unclassified non-coding RNA is filed under the name rhizosphere metagenome. RNAcentral describes it as "partial ribosomal RNA internal transcribed spacer region". The record is from RNAcentral.
GUAGGUGAACCUGCGGAAGGAUCAUUAAUGAAUUUUAAUGGACGGGGUUGUCGCUGGCCUGACUCAGGCAUGUGCACACCUUGCUUCAUCCAAUUCUUACACCUCUGUGCACCUUUUUCAUGGGCUGGUUUUGUGGCUUGCUUUGCUCUUUGGGCAAAGUUUGUUCAGACCUUCCUGUGUCAUACAUUUAUACGCUUCAGUUAUUAGAAUGUCAUUUUAUUGCUAUAAACGCAUUUAAAUACAACUUUCAGCAACGGAUCUCUUGGCUCUC